CUGUAGCCACUUAAGCUGAUCAGGUUCCUUUCCUCAUGGGGUCCUGGUGUGCCAUGGCUGCACAUAGCAGCCUCCUUGGUAGUAUACAUAACCUGUUGCUUGUACAGGUUGCUGAAAAGGACCUUGGAGACAGUU
Small nucleolar RNA from Jaculus jaculus (lesser Egyptian jerboa), 135 nucleotides. Its record names the gene SNORA70. It matches the Rfam family "Small nucleolar RNA SNORA70". Rfam says of the family: snoRNA U70 seems to be exclusive to mammals and is a member of the H/ACA class of snoRNA which contain H (ANANNA) and ACA box motifs. H/ACA box snoRNAs are involved in the conversion of uridines to pseudouridines (5-ribosyluracil) a constituent of structural RNAs (transfer, ribosomal, small nuclear, and small nucleolar). The record is from Ensembl. Lineage: Eukaryota; Metazoa; Chordata; Mammalia; Rodentia; Dipodidae.